RNAcentral lists this unclassified non-coding RNA (214 nucleotides) under Hevea brasiliensis (rubber tree). The record is from RNAcentral. Lineage: Eukaryota; Viridiplantae; Streptophyta; Magnoliopsida; Malpighiales; Euphorbiaceae.
UUUAUUAGCUCAAAUCAAUUGUCAAUUCUCAUAAAAACGUCUACCAGAAUAUGUAAAGAACAUAGGCCUAUAUAUAGAAGUUUUGUAAUCCUACUAACAUUAGGAGUGGGAACCUUAAAUUCAAUACUAAUUAGAAAUCACAAUCACAUGAGUUCCUAAAUAAAAUAAAACUCUACUUAUAUUUCUUUUUUAAAAUAAGUAGUCCUAAAAUCUC